Long non-coding RNA from Magnolia sinica, 243 nucleotides. RefSeq lists it as uncharacterized. The transcript has 3 exons. The record is from RefSeq and is a predicted model, not a curated record. Lineage: Eukaryota; Viridiplantae; Streptophyta; Magnoliopsida; Magnoliales; Magnoliaceae.
GGCGUGGAUAUACAACACAUGCAUCGACGUUGCCCCCAUGUGAGGGCCGCAUCCACUGGCUGGCAGCGCAAGCAGAGCAGAGAGAUGGAUCCUCUUCUCCUUUCUUCGAUCCCUUCUUGGAGCUCUGUUGUUACUCUAGUCUCGUUCUUGAGCUACUUAGGUAUCAUUGGAUCUAUUCUGCCUGCCAAGAUCGUCCAUGACGCUACUCUAUCUGAUGGCACCCGUCUCUGCUACCGCUGCAAC